UAGGGAAUCUUCCGCAAUGGACGAAAGUCUGACGGAGCAACGCCGCGUGAGUGAAGAAGGUUUUCGGAUCGUAAAACUCUGUUGUCAGGGAAGAACAAGUAUCGGAGUAACUGCCGGUACCUUGACGGUACCUGACCAGAAAGCCACGGCUAACUACGUGCCAGCAGCCGCGGUAAUACGUAGGUGGCAAGCGUUGUUCGGAAUUAUUGGGCGUAAAGCGCGCGCAGGCGGCCUUUUAAGUCUGAUGUGAAAGCCCCCGGCUCAACCGGGGAGGGUCAUUGGAAACUGGAAGGCUUGAGUGCAGAAGAGAAGAGCGGAAUUCCACGUGUAGCGGUGAAAUGCGUAGAGAUGUGGAGGAACACCAGUGGCGAAGGCGGCUCUUUGGUCUGUAACUGACGCUGAGGCGCGAAAGCGUGGGGAGCGAACAGGAUUAGAUACCCUGGUAGUCCACGCCGUAAACGAUGAGUGCUAAGUGUUGGGGGGUUUCGCCCCGUCAGUGCUGCAGCUAACG
RNAcentral lists this ribosomal RNA (511 nucleotides) under uncultured Bacillota bacterium. RNAcentral's name for it is "bacterial SSU rRNA". It matches the Rfam family "Bacterial small subunit ribosomal RNA", at positions 355 to 857 of the family's 1533-position model. The record is from RNAcentral. Lineage: Bacteria; Bacillati; Bacillota.